AUCUACGGCCAUGCCACCCUGAACACGCCCGAUCUCGUCUGAUCUCGGAAGCUAAGCAGGGUCUGGCCUGGUUAGUACUUGGAUGGGAGACCACCUUGGAAUACCAGGUGCUGUAGGCG
Molecule: ribosomal RNA, 119 nt
Filed under: Pteropus alecto (black flying fox)
Lineage: Eukaryota; Metazoa; Chordata; Mammalia; Chiroptera; Pteropodidae
Source: RNAcentral